CCUACGGGGAGCUGCAGUGGGGAAUAUUGGACAAUGGGCGAAAGCCUGAUCCAGCCAUGCCGCGUGUGUGAAGAAGGCCUUCGGGUUGUAAAGCACUUUCAGUGGGGAAGAAAGCCUUGGGGCUAAUACCCUCGAGGAAGGACAUCACCCACAGAAGAAGCACCGGCUAACUCCGUGCCAGCAGCCGCGGUAAUACGGAGGGUGCGAGCGUGUAAUCGGAAUUACUGGGCGUAAAGCGCGCGUAGGCGGUCUGAUAAGCCGGUUGUGAAAGCCCCGGGCUCAACCUGGGAACGGCAUCCGGACCGUCAGGCGAGAGGUCAGGGGAGGAAGGUAGGAAUCCCGGGGGAGGCGGGGAAAGGGGAGAGGUCGGGAGGAAAGACCGGGGGGGAGGCGGGCUUCUGGACUGACAAUGGAGGCGGGGUUGGGAAGCGUGGGUAACCAACCGGGUUAGGUACCCUAGUAGUC
This 465-nucleotide ribosomal RNA is filed under the name Vreelandella stevensii. RNAcentral's name for it is "partial 16S ribosomal RNA". It matches the Rfam family "Bacterial small subunit ribosomal RNA", at positions 338 to 795 of the family's 1533-position model. Lineage: Bacteria; Pseudomonadati; Pseudomonadota; Gammaproteobacteria; Oceanospirillales; Halomonadaceae. The record is from RNAcentral.